This 456-nucleotide ribosomal RNA is filed under the name uncultured bacterium. Its description in RNAcentral is "bacterial SSU rRNA". It matches the Rfam family "Bacterial small subunit ribosomal RNA", at positions 30 to 500 of the family's 1533-position model. The record is from RNAcentral.
UGAACGCUGGCGGCACGCUUAACACAUGCAAGUCGAACGAGGUCCAUGGAGCUUGCUCCGGAAGACCUAGUGGCGAACGGGUGCGUAACACGUGAGAAAUCUGCCCCGGACUCUGGAAUAACAGUUGGAAACGACUGCUAAUACCGGAUGCCUUCAUUUGGCCGCAUGGUCGUUUGAAGAAAGAUUUAUCGGUUUGGGAGGAUCUCGCGGCCUAUCAGCUUGUUGGAGAGGUAACGGCUCACCAAGGCAUCGACGGGUAGCUGGUCUGAGAGGAUGAUCAGCCACACUGGAACUGAGACACGGUCCAGACUCCUACGGGAGGCAGCAGUGGGGAAUCUUGCACAAUGGGCGAAAGCCUGAUGCAGCGAUGCCGCGUGCGGGAAGAAGGCCCUAGGGUUGUAAACCGCUUUCAGGAGGGAAGAAAAUGACGGUACCUCCAGAAGAAGGUGCGGCCAA